ACUCACGCGGGAAUCUUACCGGGUCCGGACACACUGAGGAUUGACAGGUUCCGAGAGUUUUUGCUUCGGCAAUGCUCUCUUAAAUAUGAUAGUCCUUUCAUGAUUAUGUGAUAGGUGGUGCAUGGCCGUUCUUAGUUCGUGGAGUGAUCUGUCUGCUUAAUUGCGUUUCACUAAAGGCGUCAUAUCUGUUUUGUUGCGUGUUUGACCCCUCUUCGGAGCGCGUGUCUUCACGCACAAUUACUUUGGCGUCUGAAAGCAACGAACGUGACCGUAACCUCUUGUUGCCUUCUCUUCUCCUCGGAGAAUGCUGUUUGUUUUUGCAGGCAGUAUAUGGAGGCUUUUUUACUCAACAACUAGAGGGACCGCUGUUUCUUUCUUUAAACCAGAGGAAGGAUACGGCAAUAACAGGUCUGUGAUGCCCUUAGAUGUUCCGGGCUGCACACGUGAUACAUUGAUUACUUCAGUGAGUAUCUACGUUUUACUGCGUGGCAUUGCAAUCCAUAUUUCUUCGGAAGUGUGUUUUUGUUUUCCGCCUCAACCUGCUUCGAAAGCAUGCGGGUAACCAAUUAGAAGUAGUGAUUU
This 582-nucleotide ribosomal RNA is filed under the name Elphidium sp. S3. RNAcentral's name for it is "SSU rRNA". It matches the Rfam family "Eukaryotic small subunit ribosomal RNA", at positions 1198 to 1570 of the family's 1831-position model. Lineage: Eukaryota; Foraminifera; Rotaliida; Elphidiidae. The record is from RNAcentral.